RNAcentral lists this ribosomal RNA (253 nucleotides) under uncultured bacterium. RNAcentral describes it as "partial 16S ribosomal RNA". It matches the Rfam family "Bacterial small subunit ribosomal RNA", at positions 524 to 776 of the family's 1533-position model. The record is from RNAcentral.
UACAGAGGUCUCAAGCGUUGUUCGGAUUCAUUGGGCGUAAAGGGUGCGUAGGUGGCGCUGUAAGUCGGGUGUGAAAUUUCGGAGCUUAACUCCGAAACUGCAUUCGAUACUGCGGUGCUUGAGGACUGGAGAGGAGACUGGAAUUAUCGGUGUAGCAGUGAAAUGCGUAGAUAUCGUAAGGAAGACCAGUGGCGAAGGCGGGUCUCUGGACAGUUCCUGACGCUGAGGCACGAAGGCCAGGGGAGCAAACGGG